RNAcentral lists this ribosomal RNA (429 nucleotides) under uncultured bacterium. RNAcentral describes it as "bacterial SSU rRNA". It matches the Rfam family "Bacterial small subunit ribosomal RNA", at positions 354 to 796 of the family's 1533-position model. The record is from RNAcentral.
GUCGAGAAUCUUCCGCAAUGGACGAAAGUCUGACGGAGCGACGCCGCGUGGUGGAUGAAGCACUUUGGUGCGUAAACACCUUUUAUGAGGGAGGAAGUUUAUUGACGUUACCUCAUGAAUAAGGGGCUCCCAACUCUGUGCCAGCAGGAGCGGUAAUACAGAGGCCCCGAGCAUUAUCCGGAUUCACUGGGCGUAAAGGGUGCGUAGGCGGUGUUAUUAGUCGGGUGUUAAAUCCUGGGGCUCAACCUCAGAAUCGCAUUCGAAACGGUAACACUAGAAGAAGUCAGAGGUAAGCAGAACUCUCGGUGUAGGGGUGAAAUCCGUUGAUAUCGAGGGGAAUACCAAAUGCGAAGGCAGCUUACUGGGACUUUCUUGACGCUGAGGCACGAAAGCGUGGGUAGCGAACGGGAUUAGAAACCCCGGUAGUCC